Long non-coding RNA from Triplophysa dalaica, 659 nucleotides. RefSeq lists it as uncharacterized. Lineage: Eukaryota; Metazoa; Chordata; Actinopteri; Cypriniformes; Nemacheilidae. The transcript has 2 exons. The record is from RefSeq and is a predicted model, not a curated record.
AUGUGCUAGGGGCCCUCGUGCACUAAAUGUGUAUUUUGUCCGUUUUGACCAUAGAUUUAAUAUUUAAAAAACAAAUAAUGUAAUUACUCUUUCAGUCACACCCCUCCCUGCUCCCUCUCACAAUGGUUCAUUCCAGCUGCGCUGUCCGAGCUACUAUCGCUAGUGUGACGUCUCUUGCUUAUUAGACUUGUUAUGAUGCGGCGCAGACAGUGACACACGCAGGCAAGUCACAUGAAAAGUCAGGGAAACAAAAACGGAAAGAAAGGAAGGAAAGAGAAGACAGAGAACGCCAAAGUCGACAGUAUGUCACACAGUUUUUCAAAAAGAAAGAAUCAGCGGCUGCUGCACACCCACGUCCUCCUUCCCCCACGUCCCCGUCUUAAUCAGCCGAACAAGGUGAGCCUGAGCGCGAAACUUCGCGAAGAUUUUAGCCUCUAAACACGUCUUAUCUACUGUAUUCGCCACAUGAUGAUAACUUUCCAAAACAAAAAGUAAUCUACACGCUUCUAAAACGACAAAAUCAGUUUGCCGUGUCGUGUGUUCUGUGAAGUGACAGUGCUGCUGCUACGAUCGAUGCUGUCAAACUUGACGUUCUUAAUAUGAAUAAAAUGCCCCAGAAAAUAAUAAUAUAAAAUUGAAUAAAACGUGUCUCUACUGUA